Alligator mississippiensis (American alligator) is the source of this 2143-nucleotide long non-coding RNA. RefSeq lists it as uncharacterized. The record is from RefSeq and is a predicted model, not a curated record. NCBI's taxonomy places the organism in Eukaryota, Metazoa, Chordata, Crocodylia, Alligatoridae. The transcript is spliced from 2 exons.
GGGAAGGGAAGGGAAGGGGCCGCGCCUUUGUUCCGCAGCGCCGGGCCCGGGUGCGGGCGUUGGGUGCGGACGCGGGGACAGAGGUGUCCUUGAGGGGACGGCCCGGGGGCCGGGACCCCCUCGCCCUGCCCCGCAGCACGCGGAGAGCCGGAGCUGAGGGCAGCACCGCGCCGCCGGCGGGAAGGUGACGCCAGGCCGCGGCCGCCCCGCUCUGCCCUCCCUGUAAAAGCAAUAGAGAGGUGCUGGUGCCGGUGUCCCCGCAACACACACGCACACACUUUACCCGUAUUUGUGCUUUCUUAAGUGGCGGCGUGUGCAAGGGAGGAUCCUGCCUCCGCCUGACCAGGAAGUCCGUUUACAAAGAGAUGAAACACCUUCCAAAAAAAAAAAAAAAGCUUUAAAAUCCAUAGAAAGAAGUGGUUUUAAAAAUCCUAACGAUGAGCAACGCAGCCCGGCUGAGCUAGAAAGGAAAACCAAGCCAGAACCGACAGCAAUGAGGAAAAAUACUGAAACUAUUCAAUAAGAGAGGCUUCUUUUGUGAUGUUGUUUGAACGGUCCUACAUCCUGUGUUUAAAGUUCAGCGCUCAGCCCUUGCAUUGGCAAACAACCUCCCCUCCCCCAGGCAGCUUCCUCAAGUGGCUCGAGCACUGAGCACCAGGACCUGUGCGUUGCCAUCCCUGCGCUUGCCAUCUGUUCUGUGUCGUCUCACGCAAGGAUAUCAAAUUCACCCAAGGAAACUUGUCUACAAACAAAACACUUGUGUAUGUGCUAAGCUUUAUGGGCAGGACUCAUCCUAUUGAAGGCAGUACAACUAUUUGUGUCUCAACCUGGGCACGUGUAAAUGUUCAUAAGACUGGGGCCUUUGGCUCGUGUAUGUCUUGUUUCUCUCUAUGCUAGAGAUGAGAGUUUGCCUUUAGAAGCGACGUGUCCAUUUUACUGGAUGUUGUUAAAGUAUUGUGGAGACAAAAGAGUGUAAUUAUAAACAUAGCUAUUACAAUGUUCCAGUCGAAACAGCCUCUUAUUCUGAGCGGUGGGAUUUCAGAUAGGUAGGCUUCGAAAUACUUUUGAAUGUGGUUGUAGCGUGUGUUAUAUACUACUUGAGACUAAGUUGUAAUUUUUAGGUUAAUAGGUUAAUAAAGCCUGUCUGCUAGAAGUGUAAAACCCCUGGUGUGGAGACGGCUGUGACGACAAAAUUGGGUAGGGGGGUGCUUUGUCAUCUUAGCCUGUGUCAUUUGGGGUAGUGACCCAGUACCAUGUUGCAGACACUACAGGUUGGACACUACAACCUGUAGUGACCCAGCUUCAUCUUUGGUUGGGGCUCUGUAGUAUAGAUAGGUAUUAAGAUUUGUGUUGAAAAAAAAGAAACUACCCAGGAUUCAAAAUACAUUAAAAUAUGUGACCUAGUGAAAAAAAACUAGUACCAUUAAGCAAAGUCCAUUAGGCCUGAAAAGUUCUUAGAGAAUGUCAUCAGCUUGAUUGUUAAAACAGGUUUUACCAUUUUCAUUCUGACUGACAGAAGUACCUUGGCAGAUUUAAAAUGCAAAAAAAGAUAUCUGCAUUGGCCUUAAAUAAGGUUCCAAGCUUUUGAAAGAUGCUUUUAUUUCCCUAAGUCUUCUGAGAGUGUUUUUCCCUGGGGGCUGGGUUUCAUCUCCUUCCAUACAUGAAUGGACAUAAAGCUAUAUCUCAUCAAAUGUUUUUUGCAACCAGACGUUAAUAAACCAGCGCCCACUUCUUUCUCAUCAUUUCAACUACAUGUGAGACCAGAUCCCACUUGUACCCAUGACCUUCCCUUGGUGUUUAUGUCUAAUUUGUUCUUACAUACUGUUGGUAAAGGAAAAUGGACAGGAAUUCUGCUCUUGUACCUUUUACAAGAAAUGACUUUUGGAGUUCAUCUUGUUUUCAGCCAGGAGUUUCUAUAACGUGUAUCCUUCCCUGUAUUAUAUGAAGACUGAAGACUUGUGCCUGUGCUCUGUAACCUCUUUCAAUUUAUGGAGAUUGGCUAAGAGGAUUGAAGAGGAACUCUAUGCUUGUACAUGCCCAGUCACAGUUAUUUUUUGCUUCCAAAGCAGAUAUUUAAAAUACAACUUUUAGAGUAGUUCCUGGUUUACUUAUGACCCAUCCUCCAAUAAAAAACAAGUGCUAA